Molecule: ribosomal RNA, 450 nt
Filed under: uncultured bacterium
Lineage: Bacteria
Description: partial 16S ribosomal RNA
Rfam family: Bacterial small subunit ribosomal RNA
Source: RNAcentral
CCUACGGGUGGCUGCAGUGGGGAAUAUUGGACAAUGGGCGGAAGCCUGAUCCAGCAAUACCGCGUGUGUGAAGAAGGCCUGAGGGUUGUAAAGCACUUUCAAUAGGAAGGAAUACCUAUCCAUUAAUACUGGGUAGACUGACAUUACCUAUACAAGAAGCACCGGCUAACUCCGUGCCAGCAGCCGCGGUCAUACGGAGGGGGCAGGCGUUAGUCGGAAUUACUGGGCGUAAAGCGUGCAUGUGCGACGUGAAAGCCCCGGGCUUAACCUGGGAAUGGCAUUUGAUACUGGCGAGCUAGAGUUGAGUAGAGGGGAGUGGAAUUUCAGGUGUAGCGGUGAAAUGCGUAGAGAUCUGAAGGAACACCAGUGGCGAAGGCGACUCCCUGGACUCAAACUGACGCUGAGGUACGAAAGCGUGGGUAGCAAACAGGAUUAGAUACCCUUGUAGUC